AUUGAACGCUGGCGGCAUGCUUUACACAUGCCAGUCGAACGGUAACAGACCAUGGGGUGCUGCCUACGGGCGGCGGGUGGCGUAAUGCAGCGGAACGUAUCCAGAGCUGGGUUUUCACGGAGCGUAACGUGGGCUAAUACCCGAUGUGACCUGAGACUGCCAACGGGUGACCGCACAGGAAUGUUUGGCCUUGCGCCUUUGAAGGAGCCGAUGUCGGAUUAGCUAGUUGGCGGGGUAAAGGCCCACCAAGGCGACGAUCCGUAGCUGGUCUGAGAGGACGACCAGCCACACUGGAACUGAGACACGGUCCAGACUCCUACGGGAGGCAGCAGUGGGGAAUUUUGGACAAUGGGCGCAAGCCUGAUCCAGCCAUGCCGCGUGGGGGAAGAAGGCCUUCGGGUUGUAAAGCGCUUUUGUCAGGAAAGAAACGGUGUCCGUUAAUACCGCGCGGUAAUGACGGUACCUGAAGAAUAAGCACCGGCUAACUUCGUG
This 492-nucleotide ribosomal RNA is filed under the name uncultured bacterium. RNAcentral's name for it is "partial 16S ribosomal RNA". It matches the Rfam family "Bacterial small subunit ribosomal RNA", at positions 30 to 507 of the family's 1533-position model. The record is from RNAcentral.